This 278-nucleotide microRNA precursor is filed under the name Oryza barthii. Its description in RNAcentral is "MIR812 microRNA precursor family". It matches the Rfam family "MIR812 microRNA precursor family". The record is from Rfam by way of RNAcentral. Lineage: Eukaryota; Viridiplantae; Streptophyta; Magnoliopsida; Poales; Poaceae.
UUUAAGCGUAAUCAUAAGUUUUCGUGUACAUCUUUGAUCGUAUAUUUUAUUUAAAAUACUUUUUAAAAAAUUAAAGAACAUAAGUCACACAUAAAAGUAUUAUUUAUAUUUUAUCAUCUAAUAAUAAUAAAAAUACUCUCUCCGUCCCAAAAUGUAGCAACAUAGGAUGGGAUGAGACCUAUUAUAGGACUAUGAAUCUGGACAUGCUCAUUAUAAAAAAAAAGUUAAAUAAAACAGAUGAUCAAAGUUGAACACAAAAACUUAGGACUGCGCUUAAA